This 245-nucleotide ribosomal RNA is filed under the name uncultured bacterium. RNAcentral describes it as "partial 16S ribosomal RNA". It matches the Rfam family "Bacterial small subunit ribosomal RNA", at positions 529 to 773 of the family's 1533-position model. The record is from RNAcentral.
AGGUGGCAAGCGUUGUCCGGAUGUAUUGGGCGUAAAGCGAGCGCAGGCGGUUUCUUAAGUCUGAUGUGAAAGCCCCCGGCUCAACCGGGGAGGGUCAUUGGAAACUGGGAGACUUGAGUGCAGAAGAGGAGAGUGGAAUUCCAUGUGUAGCGGUGAAAUGCGUAGAUAUAUGGAGGAACACCAGUGGCGAAGGCGGCUCUCUGGUCUGUAACUGACGCUGAGGCUCGAAAGCGUGGGGAGCAAAC